This 73-nucleotide transfer RNA is filed under the name Fukomys damarensis (Damara mole-rat). It matches the Rfam family "tRNA". Rfam says of the family: Transfer RNA (tRNA) molecules are approximately 80 nucleotides in length. Their secondary structure includes four short double-helical elements and three loops (D, anti-codon, and T loops). Lineage: Eukaryota; Metazoa; Chordata; Mammalia; Rodentia; Bathyergidae. The record is from Rfam by way of RNAcentral.
UUUAAUUUAGUUCAGUGGAUCCAAUGCCUGCCUUAUAAGCACAAGGUCCUGGGUUCGAUCCCCAGAACAAAAG